This 497-nucleotide ribosomal RNA is filed under the name uncultured bacterium. RNAcentral describes it as "bacterial SSU rRNA". It matches the Rfam family "Bacterial small subunit ribosomal RNA", at positions 28 to 523 of the family's 1533-position model. The record is from RNAcentral.
GACGAACGCUGGCGGCGCGCCUAACACAUGCAAGUCGAACGGAGCUGUUUUCUCUGAAGUUUUCGGAUGGAAGAGAGUUCAGCUUAGUGGCGAACGGGUGAGUAACACGUGAGCAACCUGCCUUUCAGUGGGGGACAACAUUUGGAAACGAAUGCUAAUACCGCAUAAGACCACAGUGUCGCAUGGCACAGAGGUCAAAGGAUUUAUCCGCUGAAAGAUGGGCUCGCGUCCGAUUAGCUAGAUGGUGAGGUAACGGCCCACCAUGGCGACGAUCGGUAGCCGGACUGAGAGGUUGAACGGCCACAUUGGGACUGAGACACGGCCCAGACUCCUACGGAGGCAGCAGUGGGAAUAUUGCACAAUGGGGAAACCCUGAAUGCAGCGACGCCGCGUGGAGGAAGAAGGUCUUCGGAUUGUAAACUCCUGUCCCAGGGGACGAUAAUGACGGUACCCUGGGAGGAAGCAACCGGCUAACUACGUGCCAGCAGCCGCAGUAA